AAAAAAACACAAUAUGAGUUGAUGAUGGGCCAUGUGUUUUUACAGCACAUGGUAUGAUUUCUAAUUCAUAAGCCGCUUCCUUGUAUUUGUCUUUUUGUAACUUGUAGCUUUUAGUGCGGAGUGCUCAAACCACACACAGAGAACUCAGAAGAGCCCAGAACGAGUUGCAGCAGCAUCAAAUAUUUACACGCAGCAUUUUGGACGGGAGGUUUUAAGCGCUGAUACAGGCACAAAGCAGCCCAGAAGUGCAUCACACCCUUUUAUCUGUCACAUCCGCAACCGGAUUCGAAAAAUCUAAUGCAAUCAGGUGGAUCCAACCUUGAGCGUGUAAAAGAGUGAGUGAGUGUGUUACAUCAACAUUAACUUUUAACAGCCAAGGAAUGUCUCCAUUCCACAGUGGAAAAAGGUUCUUUAGAUCAUUGAAAUGUUCUUUACUCUUAGAAAAAAAAAGGUUCUUUUGAAAACUGUUUGCUGGAAUGUUCUAUGGGGAACCAAAUAUGGUUCUUCUAGUGUAAAACCUCUUUUUAGAAACUUUAUUUUUUCUUUAACCUUUAUAAUUAAUUAUUUAACCUUUAUAACCUUUAUUACCUUUAACUUUUAUUAUUUAUGGAACCUUUAUUUAUUUAUUUUAUUUAGAGUGUCUUUUAUUUUGAAAUUGUUCUUGUCAUGACUUUGUUCAUUUAUCUGUCUAAUGGUGUCUGGGUGUUUGUUUUUCAUCUCAUUAAAUCAGCAUGUUUUCUGAAGGACAUUGUGUGUUUUGUUGCUGUAUGAUUGGUUUCCCUCAUUCUGUCUUCCAUUUUUUGAACAAAAGGCCUAACCGCAAACUCCAAAAAUGAUCUUUCUCUCUCCGUCUCGCUCUUCCUCCCUCAAGCUGUACUGGGAAGUUAAUUUGGUGAUGAUGGCAAUGGAGGUCCUGGGAGGCUAAUAGCUUUUCCAGAUGCAGACUGUAAACCAUACGAUGACGUGACGGGUCACUGGGAAUCUUCGGAGUAACAUACCACUGUUUUUGCAGUAUUGUAUACUGUGCAUGAAAUGAACAUUCAUUUUUAGAAUUUAUUUAUUUAUCUUUAUUAUAUAGUUGCAUAGACAUCACUACUCACUACUCAUCUCUACAAAAUGUUCAUCAAAAAUAUUAUUAAAUAUCAUAUU
This is a long non-coding RNA of Carassius gibelio (silver crucian carp), 1149 nucleotides long. RefSeq lists it as uncharacterized. The transcript is spliced from 4 exons. The record is from RefSeq and is a predicted model, not a curated record. Lineage: Eukaryota; Metazoa; Chordata; Actinopteri; Cypriniformes; Cyprinidae.